UGAGAGCUCUUCCUCUCUCUAGAGUCCUCACCUCCCUCAUUUCUCUCCCAUUUCUUCCAAGCAAACCCUAAAACCGCAGCUCCUCUCUCCACAUUUUCUCAAACCCUAACCUCCGUCUCUGCAAACCAAACCUUAAUCUUCCAUCAUCAACCCCAUAAGACCUCGCAGCCAUGGAUUUGCUGCAACACCAGAAGGGUAGCAGCACCGAUCUUGGUGCCGAUGCACUCAGAGGUAAACUUCUCGCCCUCCCUUGUCGAUUUAUGCACUCAGGUUCACCGAUUGAAAUAUACCAUACAAGAAAAAUCUUAAAAUCCUAAUGCUAAUGUUGUUUCUUUUGCAUGGACCUGAGAUCCGUAAAAAAAAAAAAAAGCGACGAUGGAACACUGGAAAUCGCAGAUCCAUCAUUUUUGAAAGCCCAUGGUAUAUUCGGAUCCAGCAGGCAUCAAGGGCAAACGGGCCUGAGUUGUGAGGCUCAGCUCCACUGCAUGGAAGUAAGAGAAAAAUGGAAAUGAACUCUUGGACCAAACUGGAUUAAGCAAUGUGGACCCUUCUGCACUCGGACCCGAACUUUAGAAAAUGUAUUAGGAAUUUCGAAAUGGUAUGUAAUUAAUUCAUGGGGUGGGAGUGAGUGGAUCUGAGUGCAGAAGCUUCAUCAGAAUCGCCAU
This is a long non-coding RNA of Pyrus x bretschneideri (Chinese white pear), 665 nucleotides long. RefSeq lists it as uncharacterized. NCBI's taxonomy places the organism in Eukaryota, Viridiplantae, Streptophyta, Magnoliopsida, Rosales, Rosaceae. The record is from RefSeq and is a predicted model, not a curated record. The transcript is spliced from 3 exons.